UCCCCAGUGGCUCAGUGGUAAAGAAUCUGCCUGUAGUGCAGAAGUUUCGGGUUCAAUCCCUGAGUCGGGAA
Ovis aries (sheep) is the source of this 71-nucleotide transfer RNA. It matches the Rfam family "tRNA". Rfam says of the family: Transfer RNA (tRNA) molecules are approximately 80 nucleotides in length. Their secondary structure includes four short double-helical elements and three loops (D, anti-codon, and T loops). Further hydrogen bonds mediate the characteristic L-shaped molecular structure. tRNAs have two regions of fundamental functional importance: the anti-codon, which is responsible for specific mRNA codon recognition, and the 3' end, to which the tRNAs corresponding amino acid is attached (by aminoacyl-tRNA synthetases). tRNAs cope with the degeneracy of the genetic code in two manners: having more than one tRNA (with a specific anti-codon) for a particular amino acid; and 'wobble' base-pairing, i.e. permitting non-standard base-pairing at the 3rd anti-codon position. The record is from Rfam. NCBI's taxonomy places the organism in Eukaryota, Metazoa, Chordata, Mammalia, Artiodactyla, Bovidae.